RNAcentral lists this ribosomal RNA (209 nucleotides) under uncultured bacterium. RNAcentral's name for it is "partial 16S ribosomal RNA". It matches the Rfam family "Bacterial small subunit ribosomal RNA", at positions 568 to 774 of the family's 1533-position model. The record is from RNAcentral.
CGCGUAGGUGGCCUGAUAAGGGUGUGGUGAAAGUCCGGGGCUCAACCCCGGAUCGGCCGUGCCGACUGUUAGGCUAGAGUACUGUAGGGGCAGGCGGAAUUCCGGGUGUAGCGGUGGAAUGCGUAGAGAUCCGGAGGAAGACCGGUGGCGAAGGCGGCCUGCUGGGCAGUUACUGACACUGAGGCGCGACAGCGGUGGGGAAGCAAACA